This 424-nucleotide ribosomal RNA is filed under the name uncultured bacterium. Its description in RNAcentral is "bacterial SSU rRNA". It matches the Rfam family "Bacterial small subunit ribosomal RNA", at positions 356 to 796 of the family's 1533-position model. The record is from RNAcentral.
GGGGAAUUUUCCGCAAUGGGCGCAAGUCUGACGGAGCAACGCCGCGUGCAGGAGGACGCUUUUCGGAGUGUAAACUGCUUUUCUGUGGGACGAGCGAGGACGGUACCACAGGAAGAAGCCCCGGCUAACUACGUGCCAGCAGCCGCGGUAAUACGUAGGGGGCGAGCGUUGUCCGGAGUUACUGGGCGUAAAGGGCAUGCAGGCGGUCGGACGCGUUUCCAGUGACAGUGGGUGGCUUACCUACCCGAGGAUUGGAAAGACGGUUUGACUUGAGGACUCGAGAGGGACACGGAAUUCCGGGUGGAGUGGUGAAAUGCGUAGAGAUCCGGAGGAACAUCAAAGGCGAAGGCAGUGUCCUGGCGAGUAACUGACGCUGAGGUGCGAAAGCUAGGGGAGCGAAAGGGAUUAGAUACCCCUGUAGUCA